GGUCCGGUAGCUCAGGGGAUAGAGCACGAGAUUCCUAAUCUCGGUGUCGCAGGUUCGAAUCCUGCUCGGAUCACCA
RNAcentral lists this transfer RNA (76 nucleotides) under Pseudomonadota bacterium. Its description in RNAcentral is "Proteobacteria bacterium tRNA-Arg". It matches the Rfam family "tRNA". From Rfam's summary of the family: Transfer RNA (tRNA) molecules are approximately 80 nucleotides in length. Their secondary structure includes four short double-helical elements and three loops (D, anti-codon, and T loops). RNAcentral also lists the same sequence under 1 other name. Lineage: Bacteria; Pseudomonadati; Pseudomonadota. The record is from RNAcentral.